RNAcentral lists this ribosomal RNA (492 nucleotides) under uncultured bacterium. RNAcentral describes it as "partial 16S ribosomal RNA". It matches the Rfam family "Bacterial small subunit ribosomal RNA", at positions 29 to 507 of the family's 1533-position model. The record is from RNAcentral.
AGUGAACGCUGGCGGUAGGCCUAACACAUGCAAGUCGAACGGCAGCACAGUAAGAGCUUGCUCUUACGGGUGGCGAGUGGCGGACGGGUGAGGAAUACAUCGGAAUCUACUUUUUCGUGGGGGAUAACGUAGGGAAACUUACGCUAAUACCGCAUACGACCUACGGGUGAAAGCAGGGGAUCUUCGGACCUUGCGCGAUUGAAUGAGCCGAUGUCGGAUUAGCUAGUUGGCGGGGUAAAGGCCCACCAAGGCGACGAUCCGUAGCUGGUCUGAAAGGAUGAUCAGCCACACUGGAACUGAGACACGGUCCAGACUCCUACGGGAGGCAGCAGUGGGGAAUAUUGGACAAAGGGCGCAAGCCUGAUCCAGCCAUACCGCGUGGGUGAAGAAGGCCUUCGGGUUGUAAAGCCCUUUUGUUUGGAAAGAAAAGCAGCAGGUUAAUACCCCGCUGUUCUGACGGUACCCAAAGAAUAAGCACCGGCUAACUUCGUG